GUUGUAUAGUCAAGUAAUUAAGUGCAUGUGGUGGAUGCCUUGGCAGUCAGAGGCGAUGAAAGACGUGAUAGCCUGCGAAAAGCUCCGGGGAGGCGGCAAAUAUCCUUUGAUCCGGAGAUGUCUGAAUGGGGGAACCCACCUACUUUAAGGUAGGUAUUGCAACAUGAAUACAUAGUGUUGCAAGGCGAACGAGGGGAAGUGAAACAUCUCAGUACCCUUAGGAAAAGAAAUCAAUUGAGAUUCCCUCAGUAGCGGCGAGCGAACGGGGAUCAGCCCAUUAAGUUAUGUGUGUUUUAGUGGAACGCUCUGGGAAGUGCGAACGUAGAGGGUGAUAUUCCCGUACACGAAAGGGCACACAUAAUGAUGACGAGUAGGGCGAGGCACGUGAAACCUUGUCUGAAUAUGGGGGGACCAUCCUCCAAGGCUAAAUACUCCUGACUGACCGAUAGUGAACCAGUACCGUGAGGGAAAGGCGAAAAGAACCCCUGUGAGGGGAGUGAAAUAGAUCCUGAAACCGCAUGCAUACAAGCAGUGGGAGCACCUUCGUGGUGUGACUGCGUACCUUUUGUAUAAUGGGUCAGCGACUUAUAUUCAGUAGCGAGGUUAACCGUAUAGGGGAGCCGUAGAGAAAUCGAGUCUUAAUAGGGCGUUUAGUUGCUGGGUAUAGACCCGAAACCAGGCGAUCUAUCCAUGAGCAGGUUGAAGGUUGGGUAACACUAACUGGAGGACCGAACCCACUGUCGUUGAAAAGCCAGGGGAUGACUUGUGGAUAGGGGUGAAAGGCUAAUCAAGCCUGGUGAUAGCUGGUUCUCCCCGAAAGCUAUUUAGGUAGCGCCUCGGACGAAUACCAUAGGGGGUAGAGCACUGUUUCGGCUAGGGGGUCAUCCCGACUUACCAAACCGAUGCAAACUCCGAAUACCUAUGAGUACUAUCCGGGAGACAGACUGCGGGUGCUAACGUCCGUAGUCAAGAGGAAAACAAUCCAGACCGCCAGCUAAGGCCCCAAAAUCAUAGUUAAGUGGGAAACGAUGUGGGAAGGCAUAGACAGCUAGGAGGUUGGCUUAGAAGCAGCCACCCUUUAAAGAAAGCGUAAUAGCUCACUAGUCGAGUCGGCCUGCGCGGAAGAUGUAACGGGGCUAAAACUAUGUGCCGAAGCUGCGGAUGUAUACUUUGUAUACGUGGUAGGGGAGCGUUCUGUAAGCCGAUGAAGGUGUGUUGAGAAGCAUGCUGGAGGUAUCAGAAGUGCGAAUGCUGACGUGAGUAACGACAAAACGGGUGAAAAACCCGUUCGCCGAAAGACCAAGGGUUCCAGUCCAACGUUAAUCGGGGCUGGGUGAGUCGACCCCUAAGGCGAGGCCGAAAGGCGUAGUCGAUGGGAAAAUGGUUAAUAUUCCAUUACUUCUGUGUAAUGCGAUGAGAGGACGGAGAAGGCUAAAUCAGCCUGGCGUUGGUUGUCCAGGUGAAAGGAUGUAGGCAUGUAUCUUAGGCAAAUCCGGGGUACUCUAUGCUGAGAUCUGAUAGCAAGCUGUACUUGUACAGCGAAGUGGUUGAUGCCAUGCUUCCAGGAAAAGUCUCUAAGCUUCAGUUACACAGGAAUCGUACCCGAAACCGACACAGGUGGUCAGGUCGAGUAGACCAAGGCGCUUGAGAGAACUCUGCUGAAGGAACUAGGCAAAAUGGUACCGUAACUUCGGGAGAAGGUACGCUGUUGUUGGUGAUGGAACU
This 1725-nucleotide ribosomal RNA is filed under the name Acinetobacter baumannii. RNAcentral describes it as "partial 23S ribosomal RNA". It matches the Rfam family "Bacterial large subunit ribosomal RNA", at positions 1 to 1768 of the family's 2925-position model. Lineage: Bacteria; Pseudomonadati; Pseudomonadota; Gammaproteobacteria; Moraxellales; Moraxellaceae. The record is from RNAcentral.